AGUGAACGCUGGCGGUAGGCCUAACACAUGCAAGUCGAACGGCAGCACAGUAAGAGCUUGCUCUUACGGGUGGCGAGUGGCGGACGGGUGAGGAAUACAUCGGAAUCUACUUUUUCGUGGGGGAUAACGUAGGGAAACUUACGCUAAUACCGCAUACGACCUACGGGUGAAAGCAGGGGAUCUUCGGACCUUGCGCGAUUGAAUGAGCCGAUGUCGGAUUAGCUAGUUGGCGGGGUAAAGGCCCACCAAGGCGACGAUUCGUAGCUGGUCUGAGAGGAAGAUUAACCACACCGAGACUGAAAAAGGGACCAGACUCCUACGGGAGGGAGCAGUCGGGAAUAUUGGACAAUGGGCGCAAGCCUAAUCCAGCCAUACCGCGUGGGUGAAGAAGGCCUUCGGGUUGUAAAGCCCUUUUGUUGGGAAAGAAAAGCAGCAGGUUAAUACCCCGCUGUUCUGACGGUACCCAAAGAAUAAGCACCGGCUAACUUCGUG
RNAcentral lists this ribosomal RNA (492 nucleotides) under uncultured bacterium. RNAcentral's name for it is "partial 16S ribosomal RNA". It matches the Rfam family "Bacterial small subunit ribosomal RNA", at positions 29 to 507 of the family's 1533-position model. The record is from RNAcentral.